RNAcentral lists this long non-coding RNA (1207 nucleotides) under Sus scrofa (pig). Its description in RNAcentral is "lncRNA (ENSSSCG00030042017.1)". Lineage: Eukaryota; Metazoa; Chordata; Mammalia; Artiodactyla; Suidae. The record is from RNAcentral.
CCACUGUGCUGGGCCAGGGAUCCAACCUGUGUUCCAGUGCUCCCAAGAUGCUGCUGAUCCCAUUGCCCCAAAGUGGAAACUCCUGGAAUUCUUUGUCUAUAACUCAUUUAAUAAAUUUAAGAGCAUGCAUCAGUGAUCUUCAUCCUCAUAGAAAGUGAACAGCACCCAUUUUAUUUCCUUCACCCAGCCCCACACAGAAAUAGGAUGCCCUUUAAGAUUUUAUCUCCAGCUUUUCUUCAAUUUUAAAGAUAUUUUCCUGGGCCUAGGCUUUUUAAUUUUUCUGAAGCAAAAAUGAAUAAAUACUGUGUCUAUGGUGGAUAAAAAAAGAUAAGUAAUCUUACUAGUUUGCCAAAUAUACACUUCCAAAAAAAAAAAAGGAGGCAUUUACUGUCUUAAGUCAGGCUAAAAAUAAUAUUAUUUAAGGGUGUAUAGGUAAUUGAAGAAAUCAAGUUUUCCCUUCACUUACUAUCUGGAUAAUUGCCUAAUUUUCCCACUGUCAUCAUCCUGUCCUGCUAGUGUUGCUUUAUACACAACCUGGUCUUCCCUUUUGUUGUAUUUAUUUUUUCUUUAAGACACCCUUCAAAUAUUAAAAAAAAAAGAGAGAGGCUAUACAAUUUGCAUCAUGACUUAAAACUAUUAGAAGAUAGGAAUUCAGUAGUUGAGACAAUGCGUUUCAAAACUCCAAAAGAUAACAGGUUUAAAGAAAUUGGCAUAUGUUAGUGAUUAUGCAAUCAUUCAUUUCCCACAGAUUUCUUUUUAUAGGAAACUUUGGAAAAUCCCAGAAGAACUGACCGAGUCAUUUCAACCACAACAGGUUUCUUUCAACAUCAAAAUCAUGGGUAGGAGUGGGCGAGGAAUAAUUUUCUUUCUUUUUUUUUUUAAAGGCAUGGGCAGCCUGGUUCUGAGUGUGCAAAGCUGUGGCUUCCCCUCCUAUAGACGCCUUCUGAACAGCAAAUCUGACUUCCUCCUCAGACCAAGGCAUCCUGAAAACAUCCAAGCAGAGGAAGCAUUUUUUCACCAUGACAUGGGAAAGGGCCACAGAGAUCCAAAUGGAAACGGACAUUUCAUCUGGUUUACAGUGUUCUGUCAGUUUUCUACUGUACAGCAAAGUGACUCAGUCACACACACACAGACACACACACACACACACACAUAUACAUUCUUUUUCGCACAUUAUCUUACAUCAUGCUCCAUCAUAAGUGACUAG